Molecule: ribosomal RNA, 166 nt
Filed under: Tessmannia africana
Lineage: Eukaryota; Viridiplantae; Streptophyta; Magnoliopsida; Fabales; Fabaceae
Description: 5.8S ribosomal RNA
Rfam family: 5.8S ribosomal RNA
About the family: 5.8S ribosomal RNA (5.8S rRNA) is a component of the large subunit of the eukaryotic ribosome.
Source: RNAcentral
AACGACUCUCGGCAACGGAUAUCUCGGCUCUCGCAUCGAUGAAGAACGUAGCGAAAUGCGAUACUUGGUGUGAAUUGCAGAAUCCCGCGAACCAUCGAGUUUUUGAACGCAAGUUGCGCCCRAAGCCAUUAGGCCGAGGGCACGUCUGGSUGGGUGUCACGCAACG